RNAcentral lists this transfer RNA (55 nucleotides) under Oxyrrhis marina. RNAcentral describes it as "partial tRNA". Lineage: Eukaryota; Dinophyceae; Oxyrrhinales; Oxyrrhinaceae. The record is from RNAcentral.
CGUGGCCUAGUGGUAUCACGUCUGGCCGCAGUGCCAGAGACAGUGGGUUCAAUUC